Trachymyrmex septentrionalis is the source of this 1868-nucleotide long non-coding RNA. RefSeq lists it as uncharacterized. Lineage: Eukaryota; Metazoa; Arthropoda; Insecta; Hymenoptera; Formicidae. The transcript is spliced from 3 exons. The record is from RefSeq and is a predicted model, not a curated record.
GAAGAUUAGAUUCAGACUUCUGUCGUUUUUCUAAUUUUUCAAAAACCUAUUUGGAUAACAUUAUUCUGAUAGUGAUUUUUUUUGUAUCGUGUGUAUUUGAAGUAUUAGUUAUCGAAAACUGAUCUCAUUUUUAUAUCACACGAUACAGGUAUCUAGCGUUGAUAGAAUGAUAGAGAGAAAAGGAGAGAGAAAAUGGGACAGAAAAAGAGAGCAACCCACAUUGUGUAAUAUGCUGUAGUAGAACAAUUGUUGCCGAAUGUUUAGGAAAAAGAAAGAACCACUUGAAUGUAUCCUCCUUAGCUUGACGUUGACACAUGUAUUUUAGACAUCUGUAUUUAUAUCUCCACGAUGUUGAUUAAGGCAAUCAAUCAAAAAAAAAUUGAAAAAAGUAAAAAAGGUAAAAUGACAAAAAAAAAAAAGAAACGAUCGUGUGCCCUAUUUUUGUAACCAAAACGUAUUUUGAAUACGAUAAAAAUUUUCACAUUCUCGAAAUGCGCGUUUUUUCGCAAUAAGAUGUACAUUUUAUUGUUUAAUACUGUGAUGUGACAAAAUCGGCGGCGUGCAGUGCCUAUCCAGAACUUCAUUUCUAUAAGGGGGAAGAAGGAUGGAAAAAAUAGUGAAAGAAAGGACAUAGGAUUUUGACGAGAACGAGACAGAUUCUGUUGGUUAAGAAAAUAUUGGAAAGGAAUCUUGAAUAUUGUGAGAUUGGACGAGACCGCAUCGGUAAAAGAAAGCUUCGCUGUAAUGAAAAGAAGAAAAAUGGAUUUACAAAAUCAAUAUACAGUUUUGCCACUUUAUCAUCUGCUAAGGACGUUUUCUUUUUCAUUUUUCAAUCUUACUUUUAAUCGAAUAAGUCUUAAAAUCUGUGAUGAGUGUUGAAUAAAAAAUUAAAGAAGUCGGUUGUAAAAAAGACUAAUCUAAUCGGCGCGAUUUUAUCCAAUCUUUACGAUCUCUUUCGAGAGGCGCUUAUUUGUUCGUAGCAUUUUCUAUCACAUGCAUACACGCUGCACGACAAGGUUAACGCAACUUCCUUUUAGCAAUAUUAUAGAUUUAUAUAUAUGUGUACGAUGCGAAACAGCCAUUCUGUGCAAGGGAAAAAGGCGAGACAGUUAUUGUAAUAAGGGCGUUUUUUUGUUAUCCAACCAGAAACUAUCACAACUAAGGCUAUCUUCGUCUUCAGGGAACAGGUUGCUUCUGAUUGCAUAACGAAAAAACGCCAUAGCAGGAGGUGCCCUUCACUUGUACAGUUGCAAGAAUUACAUUUUAGGGACGAAAAUCAUAUGACCAAUGUAAAAUAAAAAAAAUAUUGGAAAACUAUAUAUGUAAAUAUAUACAUAUAUUUACACACAUACACGUAUACAUAGGAAGCGUGUUAAUGCGAGAAUUGCACGAAUAAAUCGUACGAUUUUCGCCCUUCUGUGAGAAAAAACUACCGUAUGUGAUUACAUUCCUGUGUCACAUCGCUACGGAUGUACCCUCGGAUGUUUAUCCAAAUAAAUUGAUCAGCAUAUGUAUCGCAAGGCGAUUAGGCGCAAAUGCGAUUACAUCAAGAGACUAAGAUGUGUAUCGGCUGUAGGCGAUGCAAGCGAAACGAAGAGAAAAAUGUAGGUUGAAGCGAGAAAGGGCAGAGUAGAGCAAAGCGAAAUGAAAUAACGUUAUAUAUGUGAAGUAUAUAUGUACACACAUACCUUUUUCAAGCUCGAGAAGCCACCCGUAUAUAAUACCGCGUAGAUCUCCUUCUCGAAACCCAUGCAGACAACAGAGGAGAUGAUGAGGAUCGCACCGGUUAGACUGGUGGACGUGGGCUUCUCGCCGAACAGCGCCUUUGUGACCAACACCUGACCGGUAAGGCCAGUCAAUGCCACCAG